Molecule: ribosomal RNA, 422 nt
Filed under: Streptococcus anginosus
Lineage: Bacteria; Bacillati; Bacillota; Bacilli; Lactobacillales; Streptococcaceae
Description: bacterial SSU rRNA
Rfam family: Bacterial small subunit ribosomal RNA
Source: RNAcentral
GACGAACGCUGGCGGCGUGCUAAUACAUGCAAGUAGGACGCACAGUUUAUACCGUAGCUUGCUACACCAUAGACUGUGAGUUGCGAACGGGUGAGUAACGCGUAGGUAACCUGCCUAUUAGAGGGGGAUAACUAUUGGAAACGAUAGCUAAUACCGCAUAACAGUAUGUAACACAUGUUAGAUGCUUGAAAGAUGCAAUUGCAUCGCUAGUAGAUGGACCUGCGUUGUAUUAGCUAGUAGGUAGGGUAAUGGCCUACCUAGGCGACGAUACAUAGCCGACCUGAGAGGGUGAUCGGCCACACUGGGACUGAGACACGGCCCAGACUCCUACGGGAGGCAGCAGUAGGGAAUCUUCGGCAAUGGGGGGAACCCUGACCGAGCAACGCCGCGUGAGUGAAGAAGGUUUUCGGAUCGUAAAAGCU